This 629-nucleotide ribosomal RNA is filed under the name uncultured fungus. RNAcentral describes it as "LSU rRNA". It matches the Rfam family "Eukaryotic large subunit ribosomal RNA", at positions 23 to 664 of the family's 3401-position model. Lineage: Eukaryota; Fungi. The record is from RNAcentral.
ACCCGCUGAACUUAAGCAUAUCAAUAAGCGGAGGAAAAGAAACCAACAGGGAUUGCCUUAGUAACUGCGAGUGAAGCGGCAAAAGCUCAAAUUUGAAAUCUGGCGCCUUGGGUGUCCGACGUGUAAUUUGGAGAGGCAUCUUCGGAGAUGGCGCCGUCCCAAGUUCCUUGGAACAGGACGUCGUAGAGGGUGAGAAUCCCGUGGAUGGGCGGCUGUCCAUCUCCAUAUGAGGUGUCUUCGACGAGUCGAGUUGUUUGGGAAUGCAGCUCAAAAUGGGUGGUAAAUGUCAUCUAAAGCUAAAUACUGGCGAGAGACCGAUAGCGCACAAGUAGAGUGAUCGAAAGAUGAAAAGCACUUUGAAAAGAGAGUUAAAAAGUACGUGAAAUUGCUGAAAGGGAAGCGCUUGAGAUCAGACCCAACUCCAUGGUGUUACUCUGGGCUUCUGUCUGGAACUCUACGCCUUGGAUUGAGCCAGCAUCGGUUUUUGCGGUGGGAUAAAAGGUGGGGGCAUGUAGCUUCCUCCGGGGAGUGUUAGAGCCCCCGCCACAAUGCCAUCAUCGGGGACCGAGGACCGCGCUUCGGCUAGGAUGCUGGCGUAAUGGUCUUAAGCGACCCGUCUUGAAACACGG